Molecule: ribosomal RNA, 229 nt
Filed under: uncultured bacterium
Lineage: Bacteria
Description: partial 16S ribosomal RNA
Rfam family: Bacterial small subunit ribosomal RNA
Source: RNAcentral
CUCUAAAAAACAAUACUCAGUUCAGAUUGCAGGCUGCAACUCGCCUGCAUGAAGUCGGAAUUGCUAGUAAUCGUAGGUCAGCAUACUACGGUGAAUACGUUCCCGGGCCUUGUACACACCGCCCGUCAAACCAUGAGAGUUGGCAACACCCGAAGUCGGUAGUCUAACCGCAAGGAGGACGCCGCCGAAGGUGGGGUUGAUGAUUAGGGUUAAGUCGUAACAAGGUAAC